This is a long non-coding RNA of Malus domestica (apple), 605 nucleotides long. RefSeq lists it as uncharacterized. The record is from RefSeq and is a predicted model, not a curated record. Lineage: Eukaryota; Viridiplantae; Streptophyta; Magnoliopsida; Rosales; Rosaceae.
GUUUUCUUCCUAAUUCUUCUUCGUCCCUCUCCCUUGUUUUUUUUUUGUCCCUCUCCCUCUUCAUCUCCAUCUUCUUCUUUCGUUCUCCAUUCAUCUCCCUAUUUUCUUCCUUUUUGUUCUCUGUUCAUCUCCCUCUUUUGAUGAAAGAAACUAACGUCAAAAUUAAACCCAGAAGUUGUUCAUCUCCCAACUUCAUAAUCGACUGCAAAUCUUCACAAUCAAACCACAAAGCAAGAAAGAGAUUGAAAAUUUAGGAGUUAGGAGCAGGUUGCAUGUGCGCUUGGCCCGAAGGUAGAAGAUGGGGGUUGGAUCUGAUCUGGUCUUGAAGAUGGUUUUAGGAAGCGAGGAUGAAGCAUAUGGAUGUGCGAAGCGGAAGGGGGAAGCUAAGGUCUUAGCAGUCCGCCCGAUUUCGAGGGGUCUCGCUAAGCCCUUUUAGUGAAGUGUUUAGUCCAAUUUAGUCGGGGCGAGUCCCAUUAAAGUUAGGCCCUUCCGUAAACAAACACAGGAUUAGAUUAAAAGGUAAUCAUGUCCAGUCUAGUGAGAGCUAAGGAGGGCAAUCAAACACACCCUAAGUCAAUAAAGGCUACUGUGAUUUUAUUUUUUGU